CGGAGGAUCCAAGCGUUAUCCGGAUUUAUUGGGUUUAAAGGGUGCGCAGGCGGAAGAUUAAGUCGGCGGUGAAAUUUUGCAGCUCAACUGUAAAAGUGCCAUCGAUACUGGUUUUCUUGAGUGUGGAUGAAGUAGGCGGAAUUUGUGGUGUAGCGGUGAAAUGCAUAGAUAUCACGAGGAACUCCGAUUGCGCAGGCAGCUUACUAGGCCAUAACUGACGCUCAGGCACGAAGGCGUGGGGAUCAAACAGGAUUAGA
Molecule: ribosomal RNA, 257 nt
Filed under: uncultured prokaryote
Description: partial 16S ribosomal RNA
Rfam family: Bacterial small subunit ribosomal RNA
Source: RNAcentral